Long non-coding RNA from Onychostoma macrolepis, 1420 nucleotides. RefSeq lists it as uncharacterized. The transcript has 4 exons. NCBI's taxonomy places the organism in Eukaryota, Metazoa, Chordata, Actinopteri, Cypriniformes, Cyprinidae. The record is from RefSeq and is a predicted model, not a curated record.
CUGCCUCGAUCUGCAUGCAGUGUGGAUCCCGCGAGAUUUCAUUCAGCAAUUCCCAUCCCCCAUGCAGCACGCGCUGCAUCGCGCCGACGCCAUUACUACUCUCUGACUGCUUUGCUGUAAUUUUCGAGAGAAGACGUUUGCCGUCAGUGUAACCAAGGUAAGAAUGACAAUUUUAAAACUGAAAAUGUAGAGCAUGUAAUUACAUUGUUUUCAAACCAUGAUGUUAACCGAAACAUAGCUUGGUUUUUGUCACGUUACAAUUUAGACUUCAUACUCAGAUCGCGCCAUAUUUUUCCUCUUAUUUCUGGCGCCAAUGUCUAACCUUAAACGAUAAUGCUGUAUUGAUGUUCCCUACGCCCUCUAAAACAAACAAACAAACAAAAAACACUAAAAAAGCUCAAACUGCAGAGUUUGGCAGCGGGCUGUGUGCUCACGAUACGGGAAGAUUACGACGACGAUGUGAAAUGGCUUAUAGCAGAGAAGCUAAGGUUAGUGUAAAUAAGGUACGUUAGCCUGGGACAGAUCUCCAUUUGAACAGUAAACAAGGCUGUUGUACUUUAAACAAUACAUAAAAUACAAUAAUAGUACAACAAUAUUUAAUAUUUAUCAUGCAAACAGGAGUUUCUGCCUUAUAUAAAUCUGCAACAGUUUGCAUUCGGGUGUUAUUACAAAUCAUACAAAUUGUUAUGACUAUACAAAUGUUUUUGCCUAAAUUAGAAUUUUAAUUUUUUUAAAGUAAUAAGCAUUUUUCUUACAGAAAGGAAUCGGAAGGUCUUGGAUGUUGAUGCAGUGGAACAGAAAUUGGCAGACCCCACCUUCCAGAAACAAGUGGUUGCUGUGGUGGCAGUACUGUGGAUGAAGCCAGGAGAAGAAUGAGGGCCUUCCUUUUGGACCACCCCGCAUCAAGAGAGUUCAAUUUUGUUAGCCGGCAUGGAAAGUGAGAGUUUCAGGGGCUCAGACUGCUUGAGGUUGUAUAAGGAAGCUUGAAAAAAAUUCUCUUAACCAAAUUACCAGAAAAGAGGCAGAAAAGUCAGCGUCAAAGUGGCUAAUCGGUGACGGGAGGAAACCGUUCUGCGAAGUCACGUAGUAGAGAGUAAGAUAGGGCCGUUGGGAGAGCGAGGACAGAGGUGUGAGGGGCUGCACGGUUGGUUUGUUUGUGAAAUGUAUUUUAGAGUUUUCAGAUGUGUAUACAAACGAUUCAAGUUAUUCCAAAUAAUGUUUGGCAGGAGCUUCACUUUAACUUUUUUUAAGAUGCUUAUGUUUUAUAAAGUUGUAAAUACACAAGUUAUAAUGGUCAUGUUCAAAUUAUUCCAACGAAACCUUGUUUAAAGCAUGCAGAAUACAAGUUAUGAAGAUUUUUAUUUUUACAAGAAAUAAAGUUUUUCAGGAGCUUAAAAUUAACUUUUUUUUUUAUAUAUAU